GUGCUUGCUUCAGCAGCACAUAUACUAAAAUUGGAACGAUACAAAGAAGAUUAGCAUGGCCCCUGCGCAAGGAAGAGAUCUCACUCUCCUUAAUCUGAGAAUGUUCUU
Octodon degus (degu) is the source of this 108-nucleotide small nuclear RNA. Lineage: Eukaryota; Metazoa; Chordata; Mammalia; Rodentia; Octodontidae. The record is from Ensembl.